Molecule: ribosomal RNA, 406 nt
Filed under: uncultured bacterium
Lineage: Bacteria
Description: partial 16S ribosomal RNA
Rfam family: Bacterial small subunit ribosomal RNA
Source: RNAcentral
AUUGAACGCUGGCGGCAGGCCUAACACAUGCAAGUCGAACGAGUGGCGGACGGGUGAGUAAUGUCUGGGAAACUGACCGAUGGAGGGGGGUAACUACUGGAAACGGUAGCUAAUACCGCAUACCAUCGGAUGUGCCCAGAUGGGAUUAGCUUGUGGGUGGGGUAACGGCUCACCAAGGCGACGAUCCCUAGCGGGUCUGAGAGGAUGACCAGCCACACUGGAACUGAGACACGGUCCAGACUCCUACGGGAGGCAGCAGUGGGGAAUAUUGCACAAUGGGCGAAAGCCUGAUGCAGCCAUGCCGCGUGUAUGAAGAAGGCCUUCGGGUUGUAAAGUACUUUCAGCGAGGAGGCGUUACUCGCAGAAGAAGCACCGGCUAACUCCGUGCCAGCAGCCGCGGUAAUUC